RNAcentral lists this ribosomal RNA (253 nucleotides) under uncultured bacterium. RNAcentral describes it as "partial 16S ribosomal RNA". It matches the Rfam family "Bacterial small subunit ribosomal RNA", at positions 524 to 776 of the family's 1533-position model. The record is from RNAcentral.
UACAGAGGGUGCAAGCGUUAAUCGGAAUUAUUGGGCGUAAAGGGCUUGUAGGUGGUUCUAUAAGUUAGAUGUGAAAACCCUGGGCUUAACCUGGGACGUGCAUUUAAUACUGUAGGGCUAGAGUAUAGUAGAGGAAAGGGGAAUUCCUGGUGUAGCAGUGAAAUGCGUAGAGAUCAGGAGGAACAUCUGUGGCGAAGGCGCCUUUCUGGACUAAUACUGACACUGAGGAGCGAAGGCGUGGGGAUCAAACAGG